GGGAGGCACCGCCCCGUAGGGGCCACGGUGGGGGGCUGAGCUCCCGGAGGCCUCUGGGGACCUGUGUCCUGGGGCCACCCCAGGUCCCUUCCACCGCAGGUCAUCCUGCACGUCGUCUUCCUGCUGCCCUGUUUGCCCCGUUUUCAUCCACCUUCAGGGACGAGUGCGAUUUAGUCGCAAAUUCUGUAACUCGCAGUCCCUACAUGAAUAGAUCCGGGACCAUGCGGUGGAAAGAGCCUGGAGAAGAUCCCCACGUAAGAAUGAGAGCCUGAGCCUGGAUCACAGAACCUCUCUCCCAAUCGCCGAUGAAGGGAACCAAAGAAUAGCAAAAUUCAGCAGCAGAAAGGAAGAGAAAGAAAGAACUAAAAAUUUAAGUACAACUUUGUGCUAUAAAUGUCAAGAACUGCACUCAGUGAACUAGAAGCCUACAGUGGAGUGUGGCGUCUGAAUCUCAUCUCUAGUCCCCCCAGAAUCCCCACGAGGGAAGGAAACCAAGCAGACAAGAUGCCAAGAAUCCUCAUGAAUGCUGUUGAUGCAAAGAAGACAUGAAUCCACAAAGUGAGAGGGUGAGCACAGAAGCAAGCCACCAGGGAAGUGCCUUUGAGAGGCGCCUAUCAGGAGUAGGAACAAGCCCUCCUGGCCUGGGACUUGGCCAGAGCUGGGAAGAAUCACGGGGCUGCCACUCUCUAGGACUUGCACUGAGUUGAGGCAAAGAUCCAAAAUCCAAGGACGUGUUUGUCAUAGGAAAGGGGCAGGCUUCUGACAAGGGUGGGGGAUGGUGGCAGAGUUUACCAGAAUCUCAGGAGAAAGCAAAGCCCACGCUUGCACGCAUCCAGGGGGUCAGCCCUAAUCCUCACUGCAUAUACGGGUCGUGGAAAAGUAGAUACAAAUACAAUCUUCCAGCUUUCAAACUCAUUCCAAUAGAGCGAGAAAGCAGGCAAGGAGAAUUUUUCAUAUAUUUGAGCAAAUAGAAGAUUUACAAAGAGCAAUCUGUUUUAAUAUGAAUAAGAUAGAAGCAGCAAGUCCACUAUCCAAGUUCAAGACUUUAGUGACGGGGGAAGGAAAAAAAAGGAAUUACAGUGUGGGUGUGACAGAUGAAGACCCUAAUCUGGAAGAAAAUGUAACCAAGUGGAAGAAAAAUCUUCCCAUGUGUCCCAUGUUGUAGAACAGAUUCAUAUGAACUGAAUGAAACAGAAUAAGGGCUGAAAAAAAAGAUGAAGUGGCACAACGGGAAGAGAAAGAUUAUAAAGCUAAGACAUCCAAAGGAAAAUCAGAAACAUCCGCCAGAGAAACCAAAUUAGAAAGAUCAAGAAAUCGACGAGGCACAAUUCACAGGGAAGGCUUGAAUCAACCACAGUGAAUGUAUAGGGGAAAAGACUGCACCAUUUAAGCAAUUGGAAAAGGAUUAGUUGGUAUUUCUUUAAAAAGAGACCUCCAGUGUUAAUUUUUUCCAAAGAUAGAAGGAAAUGUCUCUGAAAUAAGAAAACUAAAUCUGCAGAUCAAAGUUCUCCCUGGGUCCUGGGAAAAAGUGGCACAGAACAAUUCACACCAGUGAUAUCCUGGCCGUGUUACUGAACUUGAGGAGAAGCGGUGAAUCUGGUGGUCUCAGAGGCCUCUACAGUAACUCUCAAUGUCAGAUGAAAAGGUAGCAACAUUUACGAAGGUUUUGGGGGAAAAUGUGACCCAAGAUAUUUCUUCUCACUGAAACUGAUAUUCCUAAAUACACAAAUCCUCAGGAAAUGGGGCACUGGUGUGAAUUGACAUGUUUUCAAAUACAAGUAAUAGAAAACCUGA
Long non-coding RNA from Suricata suricatta (meerkat), 1794 nucleotides. RefSeq lists it as uncharacterized. The record is from RefSeq and is a predicted model, not a curated record. The transcript is spliced from 2 exons. Lineage: Eukaryota; Metazoa; Chordata; Mammalia; Carnivora; Herpestidae.